GACGAACCGUGCGACCGUUGUUCGGAUUCACUGGGCUUAAAGGGCGCGUAGGCGGACAAUCAAGUCAGGGGUGAAAGCCUCCAGCUCAACUGGAGAAGUGCCUUUGAUACUGACUGUCUCGAGGGAGGUAGGGGCAUGUGGAACUUCCGGUGGAGCGGUGAAAUGCGCAGAUAUCAGGAGGAACACCGGUGGCGAAGGCGGGUCUCUGGGCCGAUACUGACGCUGAGGAGCGAAAGCGUGGGGAGCGAACAGG
RNAcentral lists this ribosomal RNA (253 nucleotides) under uncultured bacterium. RNAcentral describes it as "partial 16S ribosomal RNA". It matches the Rfam family "Bacterial small subunit ribosomal RNA", at positions 524 to 776 of the family's 1533-position model. The record is from RNAcentral.